Molecule: ribosomal RNA, 403 nt
Filed under: Fusobacteriota bacterium
Lineage: Bacteria; Fusobacteriati; Fusobacteriota
Description: Fusobacteria bacterium partial 16S ribosomal RNA
Rfam family: Bacterial small subunit ribosomal RNA
Source: RNAcentral
UGGGGAAUAUUGCACAAUGGGGGAAACCCUGAUGCAGCGACGCCGCGUGAGCGAAGAAGGUUUUCGAAUCGUAAAGCUCUGUCCUAUGGGAAGAUAAUGACGGUACCAUAGGAGGAAGCCCCGGCUAACUACGUGCCAGCAGCCGCGGUAAUACGUAGGGGGCAAGCGUUGUCCGGAAUCACUGGGCGUAAAGGGUUCGCAGGCAGAAAUGCAAGUCAGUUGUGAAAGGCAGAGGCUCAACCUCUGUAAGCAAUUGAAACUGUAUUUCUUGAGAUGUGGAGAGGCAAGUGGAAUUCCUAGUGUAGCGGUGAAAUGCGUAGAUAUUAGGAAGAAUACCGGUGGCGAAGGCGACUUGCUGGACACAAACUGACGCUGAGGAACGAAAGCGUGGGUAGCAAACAGG